UUUAUGAGAAUAAUACGAAAAAAAUUUUCAGCAAUAAAUUUGGGCAAGGUAGAAAUAUGCCGUGGUAAACGAGAGAGAUUUAGCUUGUCAAAAUCUAUUAUUUAAAAUAGGACGAAAGUAAUCCGAUCGGAGGUGAACUCGUCGGGACGUUUCACUUGCGUUCUCACAGCAUUAUACUACGAUGACUGACAGAUAUCGCAAAUUAUCGAUUAAUUCGACAUUAAGUUUCUUUUCAGAGCGAAGCAUUCGAAUGCCAAGUCUUGAAAUGCGAUGGAGAUAAAACUCACAAACAAAUCCAGAAGAAAAAAGAUUUUCGAAAUACUUGGAAAUGAAAUAAUUUCCGUGGAAAUUGCGCGAGAUUCUCGUUAUGCAACGCCCGAAGACAAUCAGGGAGAAUUUCAAAAAAUUAAAUCAACCAUUAACGUUGGCAUGCAGUUAAGAUCUGACAUGAUUAAAAUCCGAUUAACGGGCUGCCAUGUUGAGUCAAGAAUAAAUUAGAAUGAUUUAUCUAUGGUAGCAUUCAUAUUACUAUAUUCCAAUAAUCGAUGCCUCACGAAAUUUGGGCGGGAGCGCUAGAUAUUUAUAAAUUUUAUCAUCAAGGCGGGACGAAUUGAGUAUUUCAUUUAGAUAUGAGAUAAAUAGUAAAAACACCAGACAAACAGUGUUGGGUGACGCCUUGACAAAUAGAUUUAAAUAUGAUAACCAUAAAAGGAUGUUAUCAGACAGAGUCUUACAUAACGAAGAUCAAGGUGAAUGGAUGACAAAAGUUCAAUAAAGGAAAUCGUUUUGUGCAUCAUGUGGUUUUGUUAAUUUGUAAUUCUUCAAACGAAUUGGAUUGACCACAAAUAUUACACAUGUUCCGAUUGCUUUUAAUCUAUCUUCUGCAAAUAAAAUUAUACAAUUUUCAGCGGGAAAUUUUCAAAAUAAUAAGCGCGAUGUAGCAAUUUACCUUACCCGCUGGUAAUUACAUUGACGUAGAAUAGUUAUAUGUAGAUAAAAAUGAGCCCUUUAUGAGUUUGAGACACUUUUGGAAGUUUUAUAACUGCUGAUUAUAUUUUUUUGAAUAUAUAUCUGAAUAACAAAAUUUUUUUUUAACAUAAUGUAAUAUUAUUCUUUAACUAGACUUAGAAAAAAAAUGAAGAGAACAAAGCCCAAAAAUACAAUAUCAGUUCAUAGCGUAUUUUUUGAACAAUUGUUAGGGAACAUUUCAGAGGUUUUCCCUGAAACAAUGCUGAAGCUUUGAAUUCGUUUAUUUAUUUGAACGUACUAAAAUUGAAAAAAAUUUUGCCAUUUUAUAUAUGAAGCCAUACUUUUUGAAAACAUUUCUGACUAGUAUAUUGUGCCAUUAGUUUUUAUGCAAUUCAUUCGUUUUUAAUAUGUUUAAAACUUUCUUCUCAAUUAUUAUAACCUUUCUAAAGUAAAGAUGUGAGGUACUUAUAUUAAAUGUUAGCUGCAUUG
Molecule: non-coding RNA, 1458 nt
Organism: Styela clava
Lineage: Eukaryota; Metazoa; Chordata; Ascidiacea; Stolidobranchia; Styelidae
Source: RefSeq, a predicted model, not a curated record